UCUUGUAAUUGGAAUGAUGGGAAUUUAAACCUCUUCCAGAGUAUCAAUUGGAGGGCAAGUCUGGUGCCAGCAGCCGCGGUAAUUCCAGCUCCAAUAGCGUAUAUUAAAAUUGUUGCAGUUAAAAAGCUCGUAGUUGAAUUUCUGCUGCAUUGCUUGUGUCCCUCUGGGGUCUGUGCAUGUGGCUUUUUUCGGACGGAGUUUCUUUGUCUGAAUGUUUACUUUGAGAAAAUUAGAGUGCUCAAAGCAGGCUUUUGCCUUGAAUAGUUUAGCAUGGAAUAAUAAAGUAGGACUUUGGUUCUAUUUUGUUGGUUUUAGGUACCAAAGUAAUGGUUAAUAGGAACAGUUGGGGGCAUUCGUAUUUAACUGUCAGAGGUGAAAUUCUUAGA
Molecule: ribosomal RNA, 386 nt
Filed under: Theileria annulata
Lineage: Eukaryota; Apicomplexa; Aconoidasida; Piroplasmida; Theileriidae
Description: SSU rRNA
Rfam family: Eukaryotic small subunit ribosomal RNA
Source: RNAcentral